GCAGACACAUUCCAGCAAAUCAGCAGCAGUCCCUCCCUCCCAGACCCUCCCACCUCCUGGACAGCAUCCAUUGUGAAGCUGCAUUCUUAGUGAGCUGUCCAGGAGGUGGGAGGGUCUGGGAGGGAGGGUCUGCUGCUGAUUGGCUGGAAUGUGUCUG
RNAcentral lists this microRNA precursor (157 nucleotides) under Pelobates cultripes (western spadefoot toad). The record is from RNAcentral. Lineage: Eukaryota; Metazoa; Chordata; Amphibia; Anura; Pelobatidae.